This is a non-coding RNA of Callithrix jacchus (white-tufted-ear marmoset), 187 nucleotides long. The record is from Rfam. Lineage: Eukaryota; Metazoa; Chordata; Mammalia; Primates; Cebidae.
AAAGGACUAUACAGAAAUAUAAAGCUGACUUUACAGAUGUAUGUGUGUGUGUGUGUGUGUGUGUAUAUACACACACACACACACACACAUAUAUAUAUAUAUGUGUGUGUGUGUGUGUGUGUAUAUACACACACACACACACACACACAUACAUCUGUAAAGUCAGCUUUAUAUUUCUGUAUAGUCC